This 174-nucleotide ribosomal RNA is filed under the name Vibrio parahaemolyticus. Its description in RNAcentral is "partial 16S ribosomal RNA". It matches the Rfam family "Bacterial small subunit ribosomal RNA", at positions 1 to 155 of the family's 1533-position model. The record is from RNAcentral. Lineage: Bacteria; Pseudomonadati; Pseudomonadota; Gammaproteobacteria; Vibrionales; Vibrionaceae.
CUUAAAUUGAAGAGUUUGAUCAUGGCUCAGAUUGAACGCUGGCGGCAGGCCUAACACAUGCAAGUCGAGCGGAAACGAGUUAUCAGAACCUUCGGGGGACGAUAACGGCGUCGAGCGGCGGACGGGUGAGUAAUGCCUAGGAAAUUGCCCUGAUGUGGGGGAUAACCAUUGGAA